This 253-nucleotide ribosomal RNA is filed under the name uncultured bacterium. Its description in RNAcentral is "partial 16S ribosomal RNA". It matches the Rfam family "Bacterial small subunit ribosomal RNA", at positions 524 to 776 of the family's 1533-position model. The record is from RNAcentral.
GACAGAGGUGGCAAGCGUUGUUCGGAAUUACUGGGAGGAAAGGGCGCGUAGGCGGCCUUCUAAGUCAGACGUGAAAUCCCCGGGCUCAACCCGGGAACUGCGUCCGAUACUGGAAGGCUUGAAUCCGGGAGAGGGAUGCGGAAUUCCAGGUGUAGCGGUGAAAUGCGUAGAUAUCUGGAGGAACACCGGUGGCGAAGGCGGCAUCCUGGACCGGUAUUGACGCUGAGGCGCGAAAUCCAGGGGAGCAAACGGG